This is a long non-coding RNA of Ipomoea triloba (trilobed morning glory), 895 nucleotides long. RefSeq lists it as uncharacterized. The transcript is spliced from 2 exons. The record is from RefSeq and is a predicted model, not a curated record. NCBI's taxonomy places the organism in Eukaryota, Viridiplantae, Streptophyta, Magnoliopsida, Solanales, Convolvulaceae.
AAGUUAGCAAGAUGUAGAAUUAGUGCAAUACUUAAUUAUUUUCCUUUCCUUUCUUUUUCUUUCUUUGUAAUUUACAUUUAUUCUUUUAAUUUACUUAUGCAAUGUUUAUAUAUUUUACUUUCUUGCUUUAUGUUCUUCAUUUAUUUUUGCUCUUUAAUUUCUAAGUGCAAUAAGAGCUCCGCCCCUGCUAGCCUCAGCCACCGCCACUGCUAACCACCACCACCGCAUGCAGCAAGGGACAAUGGCAUGCAUGCAACGAGCCGACCUAGCUAGGUUAGGGUGGAGCCUGUAGAGUUUCCAAGAGACAUAAAUUAGCAUGCAUAUGAAGAAAUAGGUUAGGUCGACAAGCAAAGCAAGCCUAUGGUACGUGCACUUUCAAGAGAAGAUUUGUGUGGAGCCUUAGCUUGUCCUAAACACUUGAGGGAUUGAGUGAAAAUCGUGAAGGCUACAAUGCUCUAAUGAUUUUGAACUGUGUGAUAAAGUAUUAUGUGUUUGCUCAUACUCUUGAGUUGAAUUCUUAGUCGAUGUAGUUGAUUCAGCGGGUCUGUUCUGUUUAGUAAAUAAUUUUUAUCAGUAAUGCUAUCCUCUUAUUUAUUUUCCUUUUAUGAUAGUAUAACAAUUGGCCAAAGGGAUACCAAUGCUUUUGUUUCUUACACAAAGGCACAAAAGCACCUCCCAAUGCUUUUAUGCCUUUCUGUUAGAAACAAAAGCAUGGGUCCCCCUUUGGCCAAUUGGUAUGUAUACUAUCAUAAAAGGAAAAGAAAUAAGACUGAUAAAAAUUAUAACAAGUGAUUUUUGUAUAAAUAUGUAUGUUGGAUUAGGAUGUGGAGUUUGAUGGUCAUUCUCAUUCAAGUGGUAAGCUAUGGCGUAAUUAACUUGAGUUUCUAGGACAUAA